This 492-nucleotide ribosomal RNA is filed under the name uncultured bacterium. RNAcentral describes it as "partial 16S ribosomal RNA". It matches the Rfam family "Bacterial small subunit ribosomal RNA", at positions 29 to 507 of the family's 1533-position model. The record is from RNAcentral.
AGUGAACGCUGGCGGUAGACCUAACACAUGCAAGUCGAACGGCAGCACAGUAAGAGCUUGCUCUUACGGGUGGCGAGUGGCGGACGGGUGAGGAAUACAUCGGAAUCUACUUUUUCGUGGGGGAUAACGUAGGGAAACUUACGCUAAUACCGCAUACGACCUACGGGUGAAAGCAGGGGAUCUUCGGACCUUGCGCGAUUGAAUGAGCCGCUGUCGGAUUAGCUAGUUGGCGGGGUAAAGGCCCACCAAGGCGCCGAUCCGUAGCUGGUCUGUGAGGAUGAUCGGCCACACUGGAACUUAGACACGGUCCAUACGCCUACGGGAGGCAGCAGUGGGGAAUAUUGGACAAAGGGCGCAAGCCUGAUCCAGCCAUACCGCGUGUGUGAAGAAGGCCUUCGGGUUGUAAAGCCCUUUUGUUGGGAAAGAAAAGCAGCAGGUUAAUACCCCGCUGUUCUGACGGUACCCAAAGAAUAAGCACCGGCUAACUUCGUG